UCAGAAUUAAAUGGUUGACAACAUUAGGUGAUUUUUCUUGGAAUUUUAGGAAACUAAUUAUGAAAUUUUACAGUAAGGAGAAACAGGUGAUACUACACGGGAAACGUGGGGGCGACGUAACGAUGAUUUGCACACAACAAAUGAAGAAGGUUUUGCAUAAAGCAUGCAGUGGAUUUUUGGUACAACUUGAGCAGCAAACUAAGGGAGAGUCAACAGAAUUUGAAGAUCCAAAUCUACUUCCUUUGCUUGCUGAAUUUUUAGAUAUAUUUGUCGAACCGCGUAACCUACCUCUUACCCGCCGGCAUGAUUAUUAUAUAAUGAUUCUUCCAGGAAAACCUCCAGCA
Molecule: long non-coding RNA, 344 nt
Filed under: Musa acuminata (dwarf banana)
Lineage: Eukaryota; Viridiplantae; Streptophyta; Magnoliopsida; Zingiberales; Musaceae
Description: long non-coding RNA (MACU_LNC011010)
Source: RNAcentral